RNAcentral lists this ribosomal RNA (460 nucleotides) under uncultured bacterium. Its description in RNAcentral is "partial 16S ribosomal RNA". It matches the Rfam family "Bacterial small subunit ribosomal RNA", at positions 338 to 795 of the family's 1533-position model. The record is from RNAcentral.
CCUACGGGAGGCAGCAGUGAGGAAUAUUGGUCAAUGGCCGGAAGGCUGAACCAGCCAUGCCGCGUGAAGGUCAGUGCCCUAUGGGCGUUAAACUUCUUUUGUGCGGGAGCAAUAAUGGUCACGUGUGGCCAGACGAGAGUACCGUACGAAUAAGCAUCCGCUAACUCCGUGCCAGCAGCCGCGGUAAUACGGGGGAUGCAAGCGUUAUCCGGAUUUAUUGGGUUUAAAGGGUGCGUAGGCUGGGAGGUAAGUCAGCGGUGAAAUGCCCGCGCUCAACGGGGUGAAGUGCCAUUGAUACUGCCUGGCUGGAAUGCGGAUGCCGUGGGAGGAAUGUGUGGUGUAGCGGUGAAAUGCAUAGAUAUCACACAGAACACCGAUUGCGAAGGCAUCUCACGAAUCCGCGAUUGACGCUGAUGCACGAAAGCGUGGGUAUCAAACAGGAUUAGAUACCCCAGUAGUC